CAAUAGCGUAUAUUAGAUUUGUUGCGGUUAAAAGCUCGUAGUUGGAUUUCUGCUGAGGACGACCGGUCCGCCCUCUGGGUGAGUAUCUGGCUUGGCCUUGGCAUCUUCUUGGAGAAUGUAGCUGCACUUGAUUGUGUGGUGCGGUAUCCCGGAUUUUUACUUUGAGGAAGUUAGAGUGUUUCAAGCAGGCACACGCCUUGAAUACAUUAGCAUUGAAUAAUAAGAUAGGACCUUGGUUCUAUUUUGUUUGUUUCUAAAGCUGAGGUGAUGAUUAAUAGGGAUAGUUGGGGGCGAUUCGUAUUUAAUUGUCAGAGGUGAAAUUCUUAGAUUUGUUAAAGACGGACUUCUGCGAAAGCAUUUGCCAAGGAUGUUUUCAUUGAUCAAGAACGAAAGUUAGGGGAUCGAAGAUGAUCAGAUACC
Molecule: ribosomal RNA, 420 nt
Filed under: uncultured eukaryote
Lineage: Eukaryota
Description: SSU rRNA
Rfam family: Eukaryotic small subunit ribosomal RNA
Source: RNAcentral